GUGCACGGUUUGUCAAUGCGUCUGGCUGCAAACCAGAAGGUUGGUGGUUCAAGCCCAUGCAGAGACA
Podarcis lilfordi (Lilford's wall lizard) is the source of this 67-nucleotide non-coding RNA. The record is from the annotation of a GenBank genome assembly. NCBI's taxonomy places the organism in Eukaryota, Metazoa, Chordata, Lepidosauria, Squamata, Lacertidae.